Molecule: transfer RNA, 73 nt
Filed under: Bos taurus (domestic cattle)
Lineage: Eukaryota; Metazoa; Chordata; Mammalia; Artiodactyla; Bovidae
Also listed under: 5 other names
Rfam family: tRNA
About the family: Transfer RNA (tRNA) molecules are approximately 80 nucleotides in length. Their secondary structure includes four short double-helical elements and three loops (D, anti-codon, and T loops). Further hydrogen bonds mediate the characteristic L-shaped molecular structure. tRNAs have two regions of fundamental functional importance: the anti-codon, which is responsible for specific mRNA codon recognition, and the 3' end, to which the tRNAs corresponding amino acid is attached (by aminoacyl-tRNA synthetases). tRNAs cope with the degeneracy of the genetic code in two manners: having more than one tRNA (with a specific anti-codon) for a particular amino acid; and 'wobble' base-pairing, i.e. permitting non-standard base-pairing at the 3rd anti-codon position.
Source: Rfam by way of RNAcentral
UUCCUUGUGGUCUAGUGGUUAGGACUCCACACUCCCACUGUCAAGGGCCUGGGUUCAAUCCCUGGUCAGGGAA